Molecule: ribosomal RNA, 518 nt
Filed under: uncultured bacterium
Lineage: Bacteria
Description: bacterial SSU rRNA
Rfam family: Bacterial small subunit ribosomal RNA
Source: RNAcentral
CCUGACGCAGCGACGCCGCGUGAGUGAUGAAGGUCUUCGGAUUGUAAAGCUCUGUCUUUUGGGACGAUAAUGACGGUACCAAAGGAGGAAGCCACGGCUAACUACGUGCCAGCAGCCGCGGUAAUACGUAGGUGGCAAGCGUUGUCCGGAAUUACUGGGCGUAAAGGAUGUGUAGGCGGAUAUUUAAGUGAGAUGUGAAAUCCCCGAGCUCAACUUGGGGGCUGCAUUUCAAACUGGGUAUCUAGAGUGCAGGAGAGGAAAGCGGAAUUCCUAGUGUAGCGGUGAAAUGCGUAGAGAUUAGGAAGAACAUCAGUGGCGAAGGCGGCUUUCUGGACUGUAACUGACGCUGAGGCAUGAAAGCGUGGGGAGCAAACAGGAUUAGAUACCCUGGUAGUCCACGCCGUAAACGAUGAGUACUAGGUGUAGGAGGUAUCGACUCCUUCUGUGCCGCAGUUAACACAAUAAGUACUCCGCCUGGGAAGUACGGUCGCAAGAUUAAAACUCAAAGGAAUUGACGG